Molecule: long non-coding RNA, 4354 nt
Organism: Rattus norvegicus (Norway rat)
Lineage: Eukaryota; Metazoa; Chordata; Mammalia; Rodentia; Muridae
Source: RefSeq, a predicted model, not a curated record
CGUCCCUGCGACCCCGCCAAGCCCGCGAGCGCCGCUAACCGGCUCGGAGGAUCAAAAAAUCGCGCUGCACCCGGUACGGAGCGCCUACACAGAAACCGGAUUGACUGGGACCAAUACUGGCUCAAGUCGAACAGAAGAGAAAGGAACCUGGGACCCCUGAAAGCUGAGUGCACCCAUGUUUCACUGUGCCUGUUAGAACUGGUACACCAGCCAGGAGCUGCCAUUUCCCCUGUGUUAGAGCCCAAGCUGACCUGGGCAGCCAGGCCAUGGAUCUGAAUUUCCUUUGAUGGCAAGAAAGGCAAGCAGGAAGAAACAAAAUGGAGGUUUUGGUUUGGUUUGGUUUGGGGUUUUGGUUUUUUGGUGGACUUUGGUUUUUUGUUUGUUUUUGUUUUUGUUUUGUUUGUUUUUUGCUUCAUCCAGUCCAACUUCAUACCAUAGGACUCUGGAGCCCUGGGAACCAAGCUGAUCAGGGAUCAAAGCAAAGAGGCCCAAGUCUCCAUUUGAGGGGGUAAGGGAUAAAGGAAGGGGAGCGUUAAAUGUCAAGGAUUCAUUUCAGGAGUAAAAGACUGAGAGAUUCAAGGCAGAGGUUGACUUAGUCAUGAGCAGAAUCUUCCCCGCAGAUGUCCUCAUUCCAAGGUUAUGCCCACGCCUUCACCUUUACUCAUUUCACAUUUGUGACGGACAUGUGGAGGGAAGAUGGUAGAUGUUCAGCCCCAUCUACGUCUCUUCCUUGGAAAUCACUGCCAAACAAUUUCUUGGCCUUUUGGCUAAGAUUAAGGUCAGAAGAUGCCAAGCGCUGGCAGUUCCAACUCUGCGGCAGACGUGGCCCUAAGUGAUUCAGAUGAGCUGACCCAGUUAGCAUCACAUCUAGGGCAGGGGAUGGUGCCGUUGCUGUCUCUGUCCCCCCAGACAAAAAAUGAAGACACAGAGAGCUUCAGUUCCCAUCAAAUCCACAGAGGACACAAAUCCUUGUACCCAUAGGAGCCAGGGUUUGAAUCUGGGCAGCUUGGCUCCAGAAACCAUGUGGUUUUCCUUGGCCAGCUGGCCUGCCUUUCAGCCCAGGGACUAGGUCCUGCCUCGGUUUCAGGCUUCAUUUCCCCUCUCUGGCUUUAUCCUUGUAAGGAUACCUCUCACAAUUCUCACAGUUCUGUUUCCUUACACUGUGCCUUUAAUAACUCAACUUGUGACAUUCUUACAGACACACACAUCCACUGGAUCUAAGACAAAGGACAUUAACGUUGAGCUGUGGUGCCAGUGAUCCACCCUGCUUGGGACUAGAUUCCACUUUAUUAAGAAAGCUGAGGUUAUGGAGUCAUCAUCCUGAUAGCAAACCCCUCCCUAUGUUGGAGCUGUCGCCUUCUGCCCUCUAGUGACAAUCAGAGGUGCAGCAGAGAACAACAGUGAGGAGUGGUUUCCUCACCUCUUGAAAGGAGUUUUGGGGGACAGAGAUUUUUUUUUCCUGCCAGUCUUGCAGUGAAGGGCAGCCAGGGAAGCCUGAUAGCACCCACCACCACACACAUUGCAUACACUUGUGGAUAGGAUUCAUUUCAGCAUGGACUUCUACUUCCCAAUCUUGCCAGGCUCCAUCAGUGGGGAUGGAGAUGGGAGGUGGGGGAAGACCAGGCUCUUCUUUCCUCACAUGCCUGAGAGACUGUCAGCUCUCCAGGACUCUCAGAAGCAGCAUAGGGUGGUGAGAGCCAUAAGUAGAUGUGCUCUACUGUACUCCAUGACAAAUACGCACCAUAUUUCUAAUAGACGUUGUCUUGGAUAGUGCUGACCUCCUAAGGGACAAGUUCUCCCUGUGAUGGUCUAUGCAGUGAGCACACUAUUGUUUGGUAUCCUGUGGUAAAUUUACCAGAGCACAAUCCCAGAAGGAGAUAAAGAGCAAAUUAGGAAAGCUUUGACCUCUGUGUGGUGCAUACAGAUGGUCCAAGUUACCUCUGCCCCCGUCACAUGUCAGGGCCAUGAACUGAAGGACUUUCUAGUGAAAUGUACUCAAAACUUCUAGAUCAUUGUUCAAGUGCUGUCUUCUAAUGUGCCAGGUCCAACAGAACUAUGUGCAGGGGCACUGUGUUGGCUUCAAAACGAAUGGUCACACAGGCUUAUAUAUUUAAAUGUGCAGUCCCCAGUUGGUAGAAAUAUUUAGGAAGGAUUGGGGGGUGUAGCUAAAUUGGAGGAGGUGUGUCACUGGGGUUGGGCUUUGAAGUUUAAAAAGCCCAUGUCAUUCCCAGUUAGCUUUCUCUGCCUCCAGAUGCAAGCUCUCGGCUACUAUCCAGAGGCAUACCUGUCUCUUGCAUUGCUCCCUGCCAUGGUGGUCAUGGACUGGUCCUCUGAAACUGUAGGCCCCUGAUAAACUCUUCCUUCUAUAAGCUGUCUCCUAGUGUCUUAUCCCUGAGGAAGAAAAGUGACUAAGUGCACAGGAUUUGAGGGGGAGAGACAAGAACCUGGCAGGGGAGGAUCAGACCCUAACAUGUUGCUAAAGGAAAGUUCUGGAGACUGAGAGAUCUCUGAAAUGAGUUUGUGAGACCAUUACAGCCCAAAGCCAGGAAGACAGGACCACUUCCCCUCAGGCACUAGCUGCAGAACUAGGUGGCGGUUAGAAACAUGUGUCUGUUUUCGGAGGUCUUAGAGCCACAGCCUGGGCUCUCUCCAGCCUCUCUAACAAGCCAGACUUGACCACUGUCCUCGGUAUGCCGACCGAGGAGGCAGGUACCAGUGAGCAGCAGAGAAAGGAGACUUAUCCUGUGUGGGAAGGGGAACAAAAUGGUGAGGUCCAACAACCCACAAGUCCCUCUCUCAGCAGACAGACAUGAGGUUUACGUUUCAGUGGAGGGCAAUUGCUAAGUAGCUCUGGAGAAAGUGUGGUCCACCAUCACUGAGCCUUCUUCACUGUCUCAGCUCCGAUCUUGCCUGCAAGGUGGUCUGGCAGGCUGUCAGAACUGUGUGAAGUCGCUUUCUGGGCGACAAGCUCCCACUCUGGUCGGCAUCAGUUUCAGCCAUUGCCCUUCCAAGUGUGAGAUUCUUCCAAGAAAACCUUUUUUUUUUUUUUUUUUUUUUUGGAGUCUGUUGUCUUAGGACUCCGAUGGCCAAAGUGAGGGGCAGAAGUAUGUCUUGAGAUCUUCUCUCUUACUAGGAUGGCUACCCCAGAUAUUUGAUCAUGAGAACCCGGGUGCUGGUGAGAUGAUUCAGUGGGUAAAGGCACUCACUGCCAAGACCAAUGACCUGAGUUGGAUCAAUUUGAUCCUUGGGAUCCACAUGGUGGAAAGAAGGAACAAAUCCACACAAGUUGUCCUCUAACCUCUCCAUGUGCACUUUAGCAUGUGCUCACAUGAGUACACACACACACACACACACACACACACACACACACACACACACACAAAUGCAAUAAAAACUUUUUUUUUUCUUUUUUUCGGGGCUGGGGAUUGAACCCAGGACCUUGCGCUUCCUAGGCAAGCGCUCUACCACUGAGCCAAAUCCCCAACCCCCAAUACAACAAAUACAAUAAAAACUUUUUUUUUCUUUUUUUCGGGGCUGGGGAUUGAACCCAGGACCUUGCGCUUCCUAGGCAAGCGCUCUACCACUGAGCCAAAUCCCCAACCCCCAAUAAAAACUUUUAAAGGAAAGAAAAACUUGGGGAAGAAAGGCUAAAUUGAGAUUGGGCACAUUUUAGGGACUGGAGGAAGGUGUCCUAUAAGGGGAUGGUACCCUAGUGGUCAUCCUCUUGGGAGUUUUGUCUGCUGCCUAAAACUGUUAGCUGGUUUCUCUUGCUCUACCCUCUGGCCUGUGACUGACUUUAAGACAUUGUACACUUUUCUAUUAUACACACACACACACACACACACAGAGAGAGAGAGAGAGAGAGAGAGACAGAGACAGAGACAGAGACAGAGACAGAGACAAAGAGACAGAGACAGAGAGGCACACCAGUGGUGGGGGCAGCCCGGCUGGUACAGGCAUAGAGCACUCCUCUUGAGGAAACCUCCCCAGUCAGGCUGGCAGAGCCAUUCCCCUUUAUUCCCCUUUAUUCAAGCAGCUCCAGGCAUCUCCCUGACAGGAAGGAACUCAGCCUGAGAAGAAAAGGGUUGGAUCCUUUCUCAUGAAAAGAAAGAAGAGGGAGUGUUGAGCAGAGUGGAGGAUGGAGACCUUGCAAGUCUGCCUUCUGCCUUUCUAGUGCUGUCCAGAGUCAGUCCACACAUGACAUACUGCUGACGACAUGAGGUAGAUCAAGCCGGCUUUGAACUCACAGAGAUCCACCUUUCUUCAACUCCUGGCUGCUGGGACAAGAAAUGUGUGCCACCAUGCCUACUCCAGUCACAUUAAUAACCACCGAAAUAAAUACAGUAAUACAGUG